RNAcentral lists this ribosomal RNA (253 nucleotides) under uncultured bacterium. Its description in RNAcentral is "partial 16S ribosomal RNA". It matches the Rfam family "Bacterial small subunit ribosomal RNA", at positions 524 to 776 of the family's 1533-position model. The record is from RNAcentral.
UACGGAGGGGGCUAGCGUUGUUUGGAAUUACUGGGCGUAAAGCGCACGUAGGCGGACUGGAAAGUCAGGGGUGAAAUCCUGGGGCUCAACUCUGGAACUGCCUUUGAAACUCCUGGUCUUGAGGUCGAGAGAGGUGAGUGGAAUUCUGAGUGUAGAGGUGAAAUUCGUAGAUAUUCGGAGGAACACCAGUGGCGAAGGCGGCUCACUGGCUCGAUACUGAUGCUGAGGUGCGAAAGCGUGGGGAGCAAACAGG